This is an RNA transcript of Homo sapiens (human), 1251 nucleotides long. It is a transcript of the gene named putative UPF0607 protein ENSP00000383783, with no coding region annotated. Lineage: Eukaryota; Metazoa; Chordata; Mammalia; Primates; Hominidae. The record is from RefSeq and is marked validated. The transcript has a single exon.
AUGGGCAACUCACUAAGCGUAUUUUGUUCCUGGUUCCGCCGCAGGUCCUGGCCAUGCCAUCGGCAACCUGCUUGUCUUGUCCGUGAGGCCUUCCCAGCUGGCCGGGCUCACCCAGCGGCUCCUGCACCUGUGCCUGCCCGGGGAAUCGUGGGCCGUUUCCCACUCCUCUUCAACCGUCAGCGACAUCUUGGGCCUUCUUUUCCAGUCAGGUGGGAUGGCGCCCCUAUGAGGCUGUGUCUUAUCCCUCAGAACACGGGCACCCCACAGAGGGUCCUGCCUCCUGUGGUCUGGAGCCCCCCUUCAAGGAAGAAACCCAUGCUGUCUGCUUGCAACUCCAUGAUGUUUGGACACCUCAGCCCCGUGAGGAUCCCUCAUCUGAGAGGCAAGUUUAACCUUCAACUUCCUUCAUUAGAUGAGCAGGUGAUCCCAGCCAGGCUCCCGAAGAUGGAGGUGAGGGCAGAAGAGCCCAAAGAAGCAACGGAGGUGAAAGACCAGGUAGAGACCCAGGGGCAGGAGGACAAUAAAAGGGGCCCCUGUAGCAAUGGGGAAGCAGCCUCCACCUCUAGUCUCCUGGAGACUCAGGGAAACCUCACUUCCUCCUGGUACAAUCCCAGGCCCUUGGAGGGAAAUGUCCACCUCAAGAGCUUGAUAGAAAAGAACCAGACUGACAAGGCCCAGGUGCAUGCAGUGAGUUUCUACUCCAAGGACCAUGAAGUCGCCAGUUCACACAGCCCUGCUGGAGGCAUCCUUUCUUUUGGGAAGCCUGACCCACUUCCAACAGUGCUCCCUGCCCCAGUUCCGGGCUGCUCCCUGUGGCCAGAGAAGGCGGCCUUGAAGGUGCUGGGUAAAGACCACCUGCCCAGCUCUCCAGGCUUGCUGAUGGUGGGGGAGGACAUGCAGCCCAAGGAUCCUGCAGCUCUUGGAUCAAGUAGGUCUUCUCCAUCCAGAGCUGCCAGCCACAGUUCCCACAAAAGAAAACUGUCGGAGCCACCGCUGCAGCUGCAACCGACCCCUCCCCUGCAACUGAAGUGGGAUAGAGACGAGGGGCCCCCACCGGCUAAGUUUCCAUGUCUAUCUCCUGAGGCCCUGUUGGUGAGUCAGGCUUCCCAAAGAGAAGGACGCCUCCAGCAGGGCAACAUGUGUAAGAACAUGAGGGUGUUAAGUAGAACAUCAAAAUUCAGGAGACUAAGAGAGCUGCUUAGGAGGAGAAAGAAGAGACGGCAGGGCAGGUGUGGUAGCUCACACCUGUAA